This 441-nucleotide ribosomal RNA is filed under the name uncultured bacterium. RNAcentral describes it as "partial 16S ribosomal RNA". It matches the Rfam family "Bacterial small subunit ribosomal RNA", at positions 339 to 795 of the family's 1533-position model. The record is from RNAcentral.
CUACGGGCGGCAGCAGUAAAGAAUCUUCCGCAAUGGGCGAAAGCCUGACGGAGCGACACCGCGUGGUGGAUGACACCCCUAGGGGCGUAAACACCUUUUAUGAGGGAAGAAGUUCUGACGGUACCUCAUGAAUAAGGACCGGCUAAUUACGUGCCAGCAGCCGCGGUAAUACGUAAGGUCCAAGCGUUAACCGGAAUUAUUGGGCGUAAAGCGUCCGCAGGCGGUUUGCCAAGUUGAUUAUUAAAUACCGGAGCUCAACUUCGGUGCUGUAGUCAAAACUGGUAAACUAGAGAUAUGGAGAGGUGCGUGGAAUUGUGCAAGUAGGGGUAAGAUCCGUAGAUAUGCAUAGGAACACCAAAAGCGAAGGCAGCGCACUGGCCAUUAUCUGACGCUCAGGGACGAAAGCGUGGGGAGCGAAAGGGAUUAGAUACCCUUGUAGUC